This 398-nucleotide RNase P RNA is filed under the name Devosia sp. Its description in RNAcentral is "RNase P RNA component class A". It matches the Rfam family "Bacterial RNase P class A". From Rfam's summary of the family: Ribonuclease P (RNase P) is a ubiquitous endoribonuclease, found in archaea, bacteria and eukarya as well as chloroplasts and mitochondria. Lineage: Bacteria; Pseudomonadati; Pseudomonadota; Alphaproteobacteria; Hyphomicrobiales; Devosiaceae. The record is from RNAcentral.
CCAGUUGACCGGGUGGCCGCUGCGCACGAGGUGACUCGUGCGGGGAGGAAAGUCCGGGCUCCAUCGAAAUACGGUGACGGCUAACGGCCGCCGGGGGCGACCCCAGGGAAAGUGCCACAGAAAGCAAACCGCCGGUCCCCAGGGACCGGCAAGGAUGAAAGGGUGCGGUAAGAGCGCACCGCGGACCUGGCAACAGGGACGGCACGGCAAACCCCACCGGGAGCAAGACCAAAUAGGGGUGACGCGGCCAGCGGGCGACCGUUGGCCGGCCGGUUUUCGAGGUCAGUCACCCGGGUUGGUUGCAUGAGAGCGUCGGUAACGGCGCUCCUAGAUGAAUGGCCGCCACGUCCGCCGCAAGGCGGGCCCUACAGAACCCGGCUUACAGGUCAACUGGCACU